Molecule: long non-coding RNA, 10150 nt
Organism: Vicia villosa (hairy vetch)
Lineage: Eukaryota; Viridiplantae; Streptophyta; Magnoliopsida; Fabales; Fabaceae
Exons: 6
Source: RefSeq, a predicted model, not a curated record
ACAGCAUUGUUUCGAUCUCUCCGAUAAUCUUUGUCUUUCUCAAUCUUUGUCAUUCUCAAUCUUUGUCGCUCUCACUCUUUCUCUGUUCUCUUCUACUUUCUCGAUCUUUAUCAUUCUCAAUCUCUCUUCCGAUGGAUUCACCAAAUCCUACUAAGAAAAGAAAGAUAGAGUUUUCCCCUUCGGCGCCAAAACCUAAUAAGAUAAGAAAGCUACCGUUUUUGGAUGAGAUUCCUCAAAUGCUCACAUUAUCACCUCGUCAUACUCCCUCACCAAUCAAAAAACGGUUGCAACUCAUGGAUGAAAUUAUUGAACUUGGUGAGAUGCGUUUAGAACUCUGUCGUCUCAUUAACAAAACCCAAGAAGCCAUGGAUGCUGAAAGAAAGAGAAAAGUCACAAUCUUGAUGUCAUUUAGAUAGUAACAACUCAUUCCUUUCAAUUGAUUUUGAGUUUGUGCAUCCUUGAUCAUCCGGCAGGUAUGUUAUUUUGAAUCAGUCAUCAGGUCAUUACAGGUAAUGUUCUUGUGUUUUCCUCUUAUUGAUUUGCAAGGUGGUUUCAUCUCUUAUGUUGUUGCAUUGCACUACCUGUUAUUUAACAAUUAAAUUGUCUAUCCCACUCAUUUCUUACAUAACUUCAGGUUGCAAUCAUAGAAAGUAAUUCACUCUAACUCUGUUGGUAACUUCUUCUGUUCUUUUUCCUUUUUCACAUACUUUCCAUAAAGGUCAGUGUCACUCUUUUAUGCUUAUUCCAUCAUGUCUUGCUAUUUUCCAUCUUUUGUUUAGUCUAAAAUGUUUUUCAUAGUGUCUUUUCAUGUCAUGAAUCUCACUGGAUUGUCAGAGUCUUUGCAGGAAGGUACCACGGGCACAACAUUGAUAUGCUCAUGUCGUGAAUAGAUCAAAAUUAGUCUUCAGGUCAUUACAGCUUUGAGGUUACAAAUGAAGGCGUUGACGCAACAGGGCAUUCAGUUGGUACAUCUUCGGAGGCUAAAUCUUCUGCCCAAGCAAACUGGUAGCUAAGAGAUAAGUAGUCAAGCUAAUUAGAGAAUGAGCAUCUGCUUAUACACAAUAGUUGGUGUACUAGUUUAUCAGAUAAUUCUUUUUUUUUUUCUAAUUGAUCUUUCAGACAAUAUCUUACUUAGAAUUUUUUCAGACAAUAUCUUACUUGAAUUAGACUUUAGAAUAAACUUACUUUUAAUAUUUAUUGAAUUUAGAAACUUAAAUUUUGAUAAAUGUAUGCAUAAACAGGUCCUAAUGAUGUGGAGUUUAUCAUUAACCAAGCUGAAGUUUCGAUAGAACGGUUAUAUUUUAUGGUUAAUCUUUCUCAAUUAUUAUCAUUUGAUUGUGCAUUGUUGGUUAUAUUUUUUUAUUUCCCAACAUUAUUUUGAAUCCAUAACUAACUUGAUCGUCGGAGGCUUUGCAGGUACCACACCCUUGCUAUGAUCUUGUCAUGAAUAUAUCAAAAUCAGUCUUGAGGUCAUUAAAGGUGAUGUUCUUCUGGUUGCCUCAUUUGACUUGCUUGUGCUCAACAUAAAAUGUGAAACCUUCUUGACUUGUCUUAGGGGCUUUUUGUUGGUCUUCUUGUAGUGAGCUUAAUUACUUUUCAAUGUUUACAUUGUUAAUGUUUUGUGAAUUUUGUAGGAAGAUAACUCGGAAGAGGUCGGUGAAUAUUAAAAUAGUUAUUAUCUAUUAUGCCGUUGAACUUACUGUGAUAGAACAAUUAAAUUGUUUUCCCGCUCAUAUCUUUCAUAUGGUAAUCCAUCAUGUUUCCGUUUAUGUUCUAUAUAAUGCAUACAUGCUAGAGGCAGUAACUGCACAAAUUUUCUGUACUUAAUUGAGUUAUUAUUGAUAAUUUCGUACUGGACCAUGUGAAAUUGUUGAAGAACUUUGCAGUUACUUGAUAUGAUUACAGUUGUAUGACUUGCAAAGUCAUUUUAUUGGGACUUCGGGUAAAGGACAUCCUUCAUAUUUUCUUAAGUGGUUUUCCUUCAAUGUGGUUGCAGGGAUUUGUCAUAGGCUCAGCUCAUUUUAAGGUAGUAUUUUGUUUUAUUUUCCAAAAUAAUUUUGAAUUCAUAACUAACUAGAUAGUCGGAGUCUUUGCAGGUACCACACCUUUGCCAUGCCAGUGUCAUUGACACGGGAGCCUGCUGGAACAUUGGAAAUGGCAGAGGGUGAAAAUGUUGGGUCACAACUAGUUCCUUCGGGAGAGCCAGCAUUUGAGGUUACAAUUGAAGGCGUUGACGCAACAGGGCAUUCAAUUGGUACAUCUUCGGAGACUAAAGCUUCUGCCCAAGCAAACUGAAAGCUAAGAGAUAAGUAGUCAAGCUAAUUAGAGAAUGAGCAUCUGCUUACACACAAUAGUUGUUGUACUAGUUUAUCAGAUUAUUCAUUUUUUUUUUCUAAUUGAUCUUUCAGACAAUAUCUUAGAAUUUUUUUCAGACAAUAUCUUACUUGAAUUAGCCUUUAGAAUAAAAUAAUAUUAAUGGACACAUUUAUUUCCAUCAAUAUUUUAUUUAUGUUACAUUUGUUGGGUAUAAAAUAAAUUUUGCUUUGAAUUAUGUAAAAUUAUGUAAGAACUCAAUUGAAUUUGCAGGUUGGUUUCUAUCAAUGGGUCACAUUUGAAGAGGCUUAUGAUGCUGUUAUCUGAAUCGGUUCCGCCAUGAAGAGCGGCAGUGUCAGUCCUGUGACUGUUGCGGCAUAAAUGGAUCCAAUUGUCCGGAAUGGAUGAUCACAACGGAGGUCCUAAUGCUGUGGAGUUUAUCAUUAACCAGGCUGAAGAUUUGGCAUAAAUCAGUACCAACUCAUUAUUUGUAAGAUAUCUUUGUUUCCCAACUUUCAUGCUUAUUACUUUGGGAGGCAAGAACCAAGUCAUUUUUUGAAAACCAGAAUUUCAUGCCUUCGGUUUUUGCCAACAAUGCUGAAUUUUUUAUCUAAGAAUUCAACAAAGCUAAUGAAAAAGAUGCCCCUUAAGCCUCCCAUGUACCUGCAGCUUCAACUUGGGGGGCUUCUCAAGAAAAUGAAUGUUGAUACAAAGUGAUUCCAUCGCUCCUAGGACCGGGUACUAUAAGUUAGUCCUUCGCUCUUAGAAGCUCGUUGUUUCUUCUUUCUUUUUUUUUAAUUCUUUAAGACAUAUGGCGUAAACAUCGUGUCCUCCUUCUGAGACGGGUUCCAAAAUUCCUGAAUGAUGGCGAUAUCAUCCAGAACUACCUUCUUUGACCUCUCUUCCUUUCCCAAAGAAAUCACCAUGUUUAAUUCCUUUAUUUCAUUCUUAACUGCUGGCUAUUGUAGUGUAUCAGUUUUAGUUUCCUGUUUUACCCUAAUGUUUGAUGACUCUAACACAGUAACACUUGAUCUGUUAAAUUAGUUUCUGAUGUAGGGGAGAUAUGAAUAAUAUCGUUGGAUGUCCAAGCCGCACUAAUUUUUGUCUUUGAAAUUCUUCCUUUGGACGACUUCCCAAAUCUCCAUUGUUUUCAGCUCAUCUAGAAUUCCCUGAAUACUAACACUAUCAGUUUCGUGAUCCUUAAAUUUUGGAUCAAUUUUCUCUUUACCCUCGAUCCUGACUUGUCGUUUAUAUCCCUCAUGCUGAUGAAGUUCUCUGCUGAAACCUUGUUGAUGUAUUAUUUGUGGAUCAUACUCAAUCUGUUGUGCCAUCCCUCUGAGAUGAGGUGGGGCAUGCUCCUGUUGUUUACUUGUUUCCUUACUUUCCUCCUUUGUAGCAGUUGUGUUGAGCUCCUGCUGUUGAUUUAUAACCUGCUGUGCAUUGUCUUGGAUCUGGUCUGAGUAAUUCUCCUGUUUUUGCAUUCCUGUUGAGUAUGAAUACUAUUGAUCUGCUGAUGUUGAUUUAUAUGUAGCACUGAGGUUCUCGAAUUCCGGCUCCUGGUGUUAAUUUGUGCCUUGUUGAAUUUUGGAUUCAUGUUGUGUAGUAUGACUAAUGCUCAACUGUUGUUGAUUUCUCUGUAACACUUCCUCUACCUGCUUACCAACAUCUUCGAUUUUCUCAAAAUCAUGCUCCUGGUAUAGAUUUGUGCCUUGUUGCUCAUUGUAUUCCUGUUACUUAGUAUAACUGAUGGUUUCUUGCUGGUGUUGAGUUAUACGUGCCACAUCCUCCACCUGUUUUGUAAAAUCUCUACUCAUCUCUAGAACAUGCUUAUGUUGUUGAUUUGUGUAUUUUUGGAUGUUGAACUUCUGUUGAUAGGAUUAUAUGUGUUGCUCUCAGCCUCUACCUGGUUUGCAGUGCUUGUGAUCUUCAAUAUAUAUAUAGUAGGCAACAUUGCGCUUGUGUAAUCUGUACUAGCAGCAUAGUGUAGUCUUACAAGUUCUUUACCAAUUUAUUUAUAUACCACAAAAACUAAUUCACAAAAUCAGUGAUUUUUGUUUGAGGAUUCUGCUCUAGCAUUUAAUCAAUGGUGAUUAUUAGUAUGUUUCACAACUCCAAAAUUGCACUUUGGCCUUUUCUACUCAAUUAAUCAUGCUUGUUGUUUUACUUUGGUAGAGGCCUGAUUAAUAUAACUGAAGAUGGAUUUGUGUAAGCUAUGUUUUUAAAACAUAUAAGCCAUUAUUCUAUGGCCUAACCAUUUCCUUGUGAUCCUUUUUGCUGUUUUUGUUCCCAGUCAGAUAAAUUGCACAAAUAUUGUUUUGAGCUAUCAAUGGCGAUUUCUUUUUUUAUACUGGUAAGGGUGGUUAUGUGCUUUGAUUUUGUGGAGUCCCAUCACCAAAUUGUGUUUGAUUUUUCUUGAGGAGACUGGCUAGUCCUACAAGAACUUCAGAAUUACUGGAUAUGAUUACAGAUGUAUGACUUCCAAAAUCAUUUUAUUGGGACUUUGGGUAAAAGAUAUCCUUCAUGUUUUCUGAAUUGUAGUUUUCCUUCAAUGUGGUUGCAGGGAUUUGUCGUUGCUCUCGGCUUUACUAGUUGACUUAAUAUACCAAUGCUUUGGAUAAUCUUUCUCAAUUAUUAUUUUUACUAUGCAAUUGUGAACUUGUCAUGAUCUGCUGGAGGAUAUCUAAGGUAGUAUGUUGUUUUAUUUCCCAAAAUGAUUUUGAAUUCAUUACUAACUUGAUCGUCGGAGUCUUUGCAGGUACCACACCUUUUUGCUAUGCUAAUGAGUAUGAUCAAACAUAAAGGAAAACCAACAUCUCAAAAACGUGGUAGGAAGUUUACCUUUGAUUUGGGCUGCUGGUUAUGCUUAAUAAGAUGUGGCAUAGAAAGACCAUAUUCUUAGACUUUAUAAGCGGGGGCAACGGUGAGUGAUACAUUCAAACUUGGGUAUUGGCAUAUGUGAAUGGGAAUGGAGAAUGGCCCUAUUUCAAUUUGAGGAGGAUGUGAUGGAGAGGAAAUGAGUUCAGCUGUGGAAACUUAGUACUGGUGGAAAGGAUGGGAAAUUACGCGUAAAUGCUCAUGUCGUGAAUAGAUCAAAAUUAGUCUUCAGGUCAUUACAGGGAGAGCCAGCAUUUGAGGUUACAAAUGAAGGCGUUGACGCAACAGAGCAUUCAAUUGGUACAUCUUCGGAGGCUAAAGCUUCUGCCCAAGCUAACUGAAGUCUAAGAGAUAAGUAGUCAAGCUAAUUAGAGAAUGAGCAUCUGCUUGCACACAAUAGUUGUUGUACUAGUUUAUCAGAUAAUUCUUUUUUUUUUUCUUUCUAAUUGAUCUUUCAGAAAAUAUCUUACUUAGAAUUUUUUCAGACAAUAUCUUACUUGAAUAAGCCUUUAGAAUAAAAUGAUAAUAUCUUACUUAGCAUUUAUAGUUAAUUAUACAUGAUUGAAUUAAUAUACCCUGUAACGGUUAUAUUUUAUGGUUAAUCUUUCUCAGUUAUUAUCAUUUGAUUGUGCAUUGUUGGUUAUAUUUUUUGAUUUCCCAACAUUAUUUUGAAUCCAUAACUAACUUAAUUGUCGGAGACAUUGCAGGUACCACACCCUUGCUAUUCUUGAGGUCAUUAAAGGUGAUGUUCUUCUGUUUGCCUCUUUUGAUUUGCUUGUGCUCAACAUAAAAUGUGAAACCUUUUCUUGAUUUGAAAACUUCUUGACUUGUCUUAGGGGCUUUUUGUUGGUCUUCUUGUAGUGAGCUUAAUUACUAUUCAAUGUUUACACUGUUAAUGUUUUGUGAAUUUUGUAGGAAGAUAACUCGGAAGAGGUCGGUGAAUAUUAAAAUAAUAGUUAUUAUCUAUUAUGCCGUUGCACUUACUGUGAUAGAACAGUUAAAUUGUUUUCCGCACAUAUCUUUCAUAUGGUAAUCAAUCAUGUUUCCGUUUAUGUCCUAUAGAACGCAUACAUGCUAAUGUUGAUGUUAUGAUAUUGAUUCUAUUUCAAUUAUUACUUCAUGAAUGGUCAUUUGAUUAUGUUUGAGUUUGGCUUUAGAUUAUUUCUUCCAUUGUUUUAUUUCAUUAUUUCAGGCCCCGCCAAGGGAGCAAAUGUAUGUGACAUUUUCCUUGUGUUAGGAGCUUUAAUUAAUAUACAUAAUUUAUGGAGGUAUAUAAUUAUUUCACUUUAUUGGCGGAGCUGUAGAGGCAGUAACUGCACAAACUUUUCGUACCUAACUGAGUUAUUAUUGAUAAAUUCAUACUGAACCAUGUGAAAUUGUUGAAGAACUUUGCAGUUACUUGAUAUGAUUACAGUUGUAUGACUUACAAAGUCAUUUUAUUGGGACUUUGGGUAAAGGACAUCCUUCAUAUUUUCUGAAGUGGUUUUCCGUCAAUGUGGUUGCAGGGAUUUGUCAUUGGCUCAACUCAUUUUAAGGUUCCAAAAAUAAUUAUGAAGAUGGAUUUGUGUAAGGUAUGUUUUUAUUAAAACAUAUAAGCCAUUAUUCUAUGGCCUAACCAUUUCCUUGUGAUCCUUUUUGCUGUUUUUGUUCCCAUUCAGAUAAAUUGCACAAAUAUUGUUUUAAGCUAUUUCUAGCACUUUGUUUUUUUAUACUGGUAAGGGUGGUUAUGUGCUUUGAUUUUGUGGAGUCCCAUCACCAAAAUUGUGUUUGAUUGUUCUUGAGGAGACUGGCUAGUCCUACAAGAACUUCACAAUUAGUGGAUAUGAUUACAAAUGUAUGACUUCCAAAAUCAUUUUAUUGGGACUUUGGGUAAAAGAUAUCCUUCAUGUUUUCUGAAUUGUAGUUUUCCUUCAAUGUGGUUGCAGGGAUUUGUCAUUGCUCUCAGCUUUACUAGUUGACUUAAUAUACCGAUGCUAUGCAUAAUCUUUCUCAAUUAUUAUUUUUACUAUGCAAUUGUGAACUUGUCAUGAUCUGCUGGAGGAUAUUUAAGGUAGUAUGUUGUUUUAUUUCCCAAAAUAAUUUUGAAUUCAUUACUAACUUGAUCGUCGGAGUCUUUGCAGGUACACCUUUUUGCUAUGCUAAUGAGUAUGAUCAAACAUAAAGGAAAACCAACAUCUCAAAAAUGUGGUAGGAAGUUUACCUUUGAUUUGGACUGCUGGUUAUGCUUAAUAAGCUGCUAGAGUGUUCAAGAACAGAAGUUGUCUUCGGUCUACCCUAAUGUAAGCACGGUCCGGUAUUCAACCCAUCUAUGAGUGGAUGAGUGUCAUUGACAUGGAGGCCUUCUGAAACAUUGGAAAUGGGCAGAGACAAGAAAUUUGGGCGACAACUGGUUCUCGGGUCAGGCUGAGUUUGAAGUGUGGAGUCAUGCCUCAAAUAUAAAUUUGGGGACCCCUAGUGAAUCAGCUAAUCGACGCUGAAGCAAACUAAUGGAAUAUAAAAUUUGAGAGCUUCCAACUUAGCAUUCUUAAGUAAUAGCUUUGGAGGUUGAAUUUAAAAAAACGAAGUUUGUGGUUUGGCAUAUUGGCAAUUAAACAUUGUGUGUAUGAUGACUGAGAAGGAACAAAAGAAGUGAUUUUAUUUAGCGGUAAGAUGUUAAAGAAAUUGAGAAAGGAACACAAGAUUUAAAUACUACUGGUGCUAGGCAAAGAUGUGGCAUAGAAAGACCAUAUUCGUAGACUUUAUAAGCGGGGGCAACGGUGAGUGAUACAUUCAAACUUGGGUAUUGGCAUAUGUGACAGGGAAUGGAGAAGGGCCCUGUUUCAAUGAGAGGAGGAUGUGGUGGAAAGGAUGGGAAAGUACUCGAUGCAGGAAGCAUAUGAUAAUUGGGGAAUGUGGGUAUAGUUGGAUAAAGUAAAUAUAGCAUGAAAAUUUGGCAUAAAUAAGUACCAACUCAUUACUUUGUAAGUAUCUUUGUUUCCCAGCUUUUAUGCUCAUUACUUUGGGGGCGAGAACCAAGUCAUUUUUUGAAAACCAGAAUUUCAUGCCUUCGGCUAUUGUCAGCAAUGCUGCAAAUUUUAUCUAAGAAUUCAACGAAGCUAAUGAAAAAGAUGCCCUUUAGGCCUCCCAUGUCCCUGCAGCUGCAACUUGGGAGGCUCCUCAAGAAAAUUAAUUUCGAUACAAGUUCUCUAGUGAUUCCGUCGCUCCUGGGACCGGGUAUUUCUUCGCUCCUAGAGGCUUGUCGUUUUUUUUUUUAAUUCUUUGAGCCAUAUGGCGUAAACGUCGUGUCCUCCUUCUGAGACGGGUUCCACGAUUCCUGAAUGAUGGCGAUAUCUUCCAGAACUACCUUCUUUGACCUCUCUUCCUUUCCUAAAGAAAUCACCAUGUUUAAUUCCUUUAUUUCGUUCUUAACUGCUGGCGGUUGUAGUGUAUCGGUUUUAGUUUCCUGUUUUAACCUAAUGUUUGCUGACUCUAACACACUGAUCUGUUGAAUGAUCUCUGAUGUUGGGGAGAUAUGGAUAAUUUCGUUGGACGUCCAAGCCGCACUUUUAGUCUUUUAAAAUCUUCCUUUGGACGACUUCCCAAAUCUCCAUUGUUUUCAGCUCAUCUUGAAUUCUCUGAAUACUAACAGUGUCAGUCUCGCGAUCCUUAAAUGUUGAAUCAAUUUUCUCUUUGUUCUUUGUUAGAUCUACCCAUUGUACCACCACUGUGAUAAUUCCACAUGCUUACUCUCGAUCCUAACUUGUCAUAUAUAAGCAAGGCAACAUUGCUCUUCUGUAAUCUGAACCUGCAGGAUAGUGUAUCACUCAAAACAACCUAAUAAAGUAGGGGAGCUUUUUGGUUGUUUUAGUUUGGUUUUAGUAGGAACUAACUUUUAACAAAUUAUUUUUUCAACAGGUCUUUAAUUUUGUAUGUUAGCUCAUUUCAAAAGCUCUAUAAAUAUAUGAUGAGAUUGACUCAAUUGAUUUAUUUAUUUAUAUAGCUAGAAGUAAAUAAAUUAUAUUUUGAAUUGAAUAAACUUAUAUUUAAUAAAUUAUUAAACAAACAUACAAGUAUUGGAGAAAAUAGUUUAGAUUGUUAGUUCUUGGGAUGUCAUAAGCUUUCGUAAUGAAACAUAAUUAAAAAUUAGUGUAGUAUUUCUUUGCUAGGUGGUUUUCUUUCAAGUUUUUUGUGGCAAAAUGGUGACUGUUGUGGCAUAAAUGGAUCCAAUUGUCCGGAAUGGAUAUUCGCAAUGGAGGUAUAGCACUUUAUCUCCGUAAGGAAAAUUACAGUUAAGGAACUAUAUUUAGUAUGUUAAAACAUGUUAGAAUAUGAUACAAUUAGCGUUAUUAAUUAUUGCAUUAGUACUUUAGUGAUUUGAUUCAGAAUUUGGUGUUUUCAGGUUUGUAACAGUGUGCAGUAACAUAUGUCCCAUUAUAUGACAAAAUCAGUCUUGAGGUCAUUAAAAGUGAUGUUCUUCUGGUUGCCUCAUUUGACUUGCUCCUGCUCAACAUAAAAUGUGAAACCUUCUUGACUUGUCUUAGGGGCUUAUUGUUGGUCUUCUUGUAGUGAGCUUAAUGACUUUUCAAUGUUUACACUGUUACUGUUUUGUGAAUUUUGUAGGAAGAUAACUUGGAAGAGGUCGGUGAAUAUUAAAAUAAUAGUUAUUUUCUGAACUGGUUUUCCUUCAAUGUGGUUGCAGAGAUUUGUCAUUGGCUCGGCUCAUUUUAAGGUUCCAAAAUAAUUAUGAAUUCAUAACUAACUAGAUCGUCGGAGUCUUUGCAGGUACCACACCUUUGCUAUGCUCAUGAGUAUGAGUGGAUGAGUGUCAUUGAGACGGGAGCCUGCUGGAAUGGAAUUGUUUGACACUAAUAUGUAAAGACUAUUUGCUCUUCUGUAAUUUAUUGAAAUCAGUGAAUUUUGUUUGAACUAUGUGAUUUCUUUGUACUAUCUACCAAUGCUCACAAUAGAUUAUGGUUUUGAAUUA